GACGAACCGUGCGAACGUUGUUCGGAAUCACUGGGCAUAAAGGGCGCGUAGGCGGGCCGUAAAGUCAGGGGUGAAAUCCUCCAGCUUAACUGGAGAACUGCCUUUGAUACUGACGGCCUCGAGUGAGGUAGGGGCGUGCGGAACUGAUGGUGGAGCGGUGAAAUGUGUUGAUAUCAUCAGGAACUCCGGUGGUGAAAGCGGCACGCUGGACCUUUACUGACGCUGAGGCGCGAAAGCCAGGGGAGCGAACGGG
RNAcentral lists this ribosomal RNA (253 nucleotides) under uncultured bacterium. RNAcentral describes it as "partial 16S ribosomal RNA". It matches the Rfam family "Bacterial small subunit ribosomal RNA", at positions 524 to 776 of the family's 1533-position model. The record is from RNAcentral.